Molecule: ribosomal RNA, 784 nt
Filed under: Merisus splendidus
Lineage: Eukaryota; Metazoa; Arthropoda; Insecta; Hymenoptera; Pteromalidae
Description: eukaryotic LSU rRNA
Rfam family: Eukaryotic large subunit ribosomal RNA
Source: RNAcentral
AUGGGGAGAUUCAUCGUCAGCGACGUUGGCUUCCGUGCGGAUCGCGAUGGCCGGGACCUCGGUUCCGCGUCACGCGUUCGCUGCGGUAUGUCCGACGUUGUCGGCGUGCACUUCUCCCUAGUAGAACGUCGCGACCCGUUGGGUGCCGGCCUACGGCCCGGUUGGUCGUCUGUUGCGUCGCGUUCACGCGUGCACGCGGCAGACCACCGGUCGCCCGGCCGGCUGCCCGGCGGUAUAGAUCGCUAUAAACUGGUAUUGGGCCGCAUUAAGUGCGUUCUGGCUCGUCGGCAGGCUCGUCUCGCUCGGAUUUACGGACCUAGUGCCGUUGCCGGGCGCUUGGCGUGGCCGUUAGUCGACGAUGUCCUCGGACUGGCUCUUACAUUCGAACGGAUUUACCGGUCGGCGACGCUACUGCUUUGGGUACUUUCAGGACCCGUCUUGAAACACGGACCAAGGAGUCUAACAUGUGCGCGAGUCAUUGGGACUUGUUAAGCCUAAAGGCGCAAUGAAAGUGAAGGUCGGCCCUAGCGUCGACCGAGGGAGGAUGGCUCGCGUCACGAUGCGAGCCCGCACUCCCGGGGCGUCUCGUGCUCAUUGCGAGCAGAGGCGCACCCAGAGCGUACACGUUGGGACCCGAAAGAUGGUGAACUAUGCCUGGUCAGGACGAAGUCAGGGGAAACCCUGAUGGAGGUCCGUAGCGAUUCUGACGUGCAAAUCGAUCGUCGGAACUGGGUAUAGGGGCGAAAGACUAAUCGAACCAUCUAGUAGCUGGUUCCCUCCGAAG